This 939-nucleotide non-coding RNA is filed under the name Wakea madinika. RNAcentral describes it as "12S ribosomal RNA". It matches the Rfam family "Bacterial small subunit ribosomal RNA". The record is from RNAcentral. Lineage: Eukaryota; Metazoa; Chordata; Amphibia; Anura; Mantellidae.
UAAAAGUUUGGUCCUAACUUUAUUAUCAAUUAUUUCUUGAAUCUUACACAUGCAAGUAUCAGCAAACCAGUGAGGACGCCCUUAAUUUCUUUACCAGAUAAAGGAGCCGACAUCAGGCACAGAACUCUUGCCCAUAACGUCUAGUCCCACCACACCCACAAGGGUCUUCAGCAGUGAUAAAGAUUGUCUAUAAGCGUCAGCUUGAAUCAGUUAAAGAAAAGAGAGCCGGCUAAUCUGGUGCCAGCCGCCGCGGCUACACCAUGAGGCCCAAAUUGACAAUUAUCGGCGUUAAGCGUGAUUAAAGGCCCAACCCGCUAGAGUUGAACCCUAGUUUAGCUGUGAAAAGCUUACUACUGGGAAAAUCAUAAACGAAAGUUACUCUACUACUUCUUGAAUUCACGACAGCUGGAAUUACAAACUGGGAUUAGAUACCCCACUAUGUCCAGCCGUAAAAAAUUAACUUACAUAAACAAGCGCCUGGGUAUUACGAGCGCAAGCUUAAAAUCCAAAGGAUUUGACGGUAUCCCACCCACCUAGAGGAGCCUGUUCUAUAAUCGAUAACCCUCGAUAUACCCAACCAUUUCUUGCCCCAUCAGCCUGUAUACCUCCGUCGUAAAUUUACCGUUUGAACGAAUAAAAGUAAGUUUAAUGAUCUACCCCAUCAACACGUCAGGUCAAGGUGCAGCUAAUGUAAUGGAAAGUAAUGGGCUACAAUCUCUAUAAUAGAACAAACGAAAAACUACAUGAAAAAUAGUCAUGAAGGCGGAUUUAGUAGUAAAAGGGGAAUAGAGUGCCCCUUUAAAAUAGGCCCUGGGAUGUGUACAAACCGCCCGUCACCCCCUUCAAUAGCAUAUCUUAAGCUUCCUAACAUAACCAAAGCACAUUAGAAGGGGCAAGUCGUAACAUGGUAAGUGUACUGGAAAGUGCACUUGGUAAACA